RNAcentral lists this ribosomal RNA (484 nucleotides) under uncultured bacterium. RNAcentral's name for it is "partial 16S ribosomal RNA". It matches the Rfam family "Bacterial small subunit ribosomal RNA", at positions 30 to 507 of the family's 1533-position model. The record is from RNAcentral.
AUUGAACGCUGGCGGCAGGCCUAACACAUGCAAGUCGAGCGGAUGAAGGGAGCUUGCGCCUGGAUUCAGCGGCGGACGGGUGAGUAAUGCCUAGGAAUCUGCCUGGUAGUGGGGGAUAACGUCCGGAAACGGGCGCUAAUACCGCAUACGUCCUGAGGGAGAAAGUGGGGGAUCUUCGGACCUCACGCUAUCAGAUGAGCCUAGGUCGGAUUAGCUAGUUGGUUGGGUAAAGGCCUACCAAGGCGACGAUCCGUAACUGGUCUGAGAGGAUGAUCAGUCACACUGGAACUGAGACACGGUCCAGACUCCUACGGGAGGCAGCAGUGGGGAAUAUUGGACAAUGGGCGAAAGCCUGAUCCAGCAAUGCCGCGUGUGUGAAGAAGGCCUUCGGAUUGUAAAGCACUUUAAGUUGGGAGGAAGGGAAGUAAGUUAAUACCUUGCUGUUUUGACGUUACCAACAGAAUAAGCACCGGCUAACUUCGUG